Molecule: non-coding RNA, 205 nt
Organism: Marmota flaviventris (yellow-bellied marmot)
Lineage: Eukaryota; Metazoa; Chordata; Mammalia; Rodentia; Sciuridae
Source: RefSeq, a predicted model, not a curated record
UGCCAUGUGCCAGGCUCCAAGCACUGUACCUCAAGCAUCUCUUCUGAUCUUUACAACAUACCUCUGAGACAGAACCAGCCCCAGAACACCUGUGAAGGCGGAUGUUCCCCCCUGAGCAGGAGCUCCAGGGCUGCAGACACUGUUGAAGAUGGAGAGUGUGUCCCACGACUAGAUAGUAAAAGGUCUCGAAGUUGCUGAGGCUGAC